This 591-nucleotide ribosomal RNA is filed under the name uncultured archaeon. RNAcentral describes it as "bacterial SSU rRNA". It matches the Rfam family "Archaeal small subunit ribosomal RNA", at positions 262 to 856 of the family's 1478-position model. The record is from RNAcentral.
GAUCAGUAAGGGCUCUUAGCGGAGAGGCCCUGAGAAGGAAUCUGAGACACUAUUCCUAGCCUUACGGGGUGCAGCAGUUGAGGAAAUUCUGCAAUGCACGAAAGUGUGACAGAAUGAGCCAGAGUGUUUCUCUUAGAGAAACUUUUUUCUGAUGCAAAAAGUCAGGAGAAUAAGGACUGGGCAAGACCGGUGCCAGCCGCCGCGGUAAUACCGGCGGUCCAAGUCGUAUCCACAUUUAUUGGGUCUAAAACAUUCGUAGCUUGCUUUGCAAGUUUCUUGUGAAAUCCUAUAUCUCAAGUAUAGGGCGUGCAAGAAAUACUGCAUUGCUAGAGACCGGAAGACGUAAGGAGUACUGUUGAGGUAGUGGUAAAAUACGUUAAUCUUGACAGGACUAACAAUGGCGAAGGCACCUUACGAGUACGGAUCUGACAGUGAGGAAUGAAGGCUAGGGGCGCAAAAGGGAUUAGAUACCCCUGUAGUCCUAGCAGUAAACACUGCUCACUAAACAUUGGGAUCUCUUCGAGAGAUUUCAGUGCUGUAGGGAAGCCGAAGAGUGAGCUACCUGGGAAGUAUAGUCGCAAGGCCGAAACU